UACGAAGGGGGCUAGCGUUGCUCGGAAUUACUGGGCGUAAAGUGUGCGCAGGCGGCAGAGCAAGUCGAGUGUGAAAGCCCCGGGCUUAACUUGGGAAUUGCGCUCGAAACUACUUUGCUGGAGUGUGGCAGAGGAAGGUGGAAUUCCACGUGUAGCGGUGAAAUGCGUAGAGAUGUGGAGGAGCACCAAUGGCGAAGGCAGCCUUCUGGGCCAACACUGACGCUCAUGCACGAAAGCGUGGGGAGCAAACAGG
This 253-nucleotide ribosomal RNA is filed under the name uncultured bacterium. Its description in RNAcentral is "partial 16S ribosomal RNA". It matches the Rfam family "Bacterial small subunit ribosomal RNA", at positions 524 to 776 of the family's 1533-position model. The record is from RNAcentral.